CUUGGUCAUUUAGAGGAAGUAAAAGUCGUAACAAGGUUUCCGUAGGUGAACCUGCGGAAGGAUCAUUAACGAGUUUUGAAACGAGUUGUAGCUGGCCUUCCGGGGCAUGUGCACGCUCUGCUCAUCCACUCUACCCCUGUGCACUUACUGUAGGUUGGCGUGGGCUCCUUAACGGGAGCAUUCUGCCGGCCUAUGUAUACUACAAACACUUUAAAGUAUCAGAAUGUAAACGCGUCUAACGCAUCUAUAAUACAACUUUUAGCAACGGAUCUCUUGGCUCUCGCAUCGAUGAAGAACGCAGCGAAAUGCGAUAAGUAAUGUGAAUUGCAGAAUUCAGUGAAUCAUCGAAUCUUUGAACGCACCUUGCGCUCCUUGGUAUUCCGAGGAGCAUGCCUGUUUGAGUGUCAUGGAAUUCUCAACUUAUAAAUCCUUGUGAUCUAUAAGCUUGUACUUGGAGGCUUGCUGGCCCUUGCGGUCGGCUCCUCUUGAAUGCAUUAGCUUGAUUCCGUACGGAUCGGCUCUCAGUGUGAUAAUUGUCUACGCUGUGACCGUGAAGUGUUUUGGCGAGCUUCUAACCGUCCAUUAGGACAACUUCUUAACAUCUGACCUCAAAUCAGGUAGGACUACCCGCUGAACUUAAGCAUAUCAAUAAGCGGAGGA
Molecule: ribosomal RNA, 660 nt
Filed under: Trametes versicolor
Lineage: Eukaryota; Fungi; Basidiomycota; Agaricomycetes; Polyporales; Polyporaceae
Description: eukaryotic LSU rRNA
Rfam family: 5.8S ribosomal RNA (bases 254-407)
Source: RNAcentral